GAAGUUGCGGCUCAGUGGUAGAGCACUUGCGUAGCAUGUGUGAGACACUGGGUUCAAUUCCCAGAACUGCA
Molecule: transfer RNA, 71 nt
Filed under: Marmota monax (woodchuck)
Lineage: Eukaryota; Metazoa; Chordata; Mammalia; Rodentia; Sciuridae
Description: tRNA.Ala
Source: RNAcentral